Molecule: ribosomal RNA, 463 nt
Filed under: uncultured bacterium
Lineage: Bacteria
Description: bacterial SSU rRNA
Rfam family: Bacterial small subunit ribosomal RNA
Source: RNAcentral
AUUGAACGCUGGCGGCAUGCCUUACACAUGCAAGUCGAACGGUAACGGGCCUUCGGGUGCCGACGAGUGGCGAACGGGUGAGUAAUGCAUCGGAACGUACCUUUCAGUGGGGGAUAACGUAGCGAAAGUUACGCUAAUACCGCAUAUUCUGUGAGCAGGAAAGCAGGGGAUCGCAAGACCUUGCGCUGAUUGAGCGGCCGAUGUCAGAUUAGCUAGUUGGUGAGGUAAAGGCUCACCAAGGCGACGAUCUGUAGCGGGUCUGAGAGGAUGAUCCGCCACACUGGAACUGAGACACGGUCCAGACUCCUACGGGAGGCAGCAGUGGGGAAUUUUUGGACAAUGGGGGCAACCCUGAUCCAGCCAUGCCGCGUGAGCGAAGAAGGCCUUCGGUUGUAAAGCUCUGUCUGGAGGGACGAAGGAAGUAGACGGUACCUCCGGAGGAAGGCCACGGCGUAACUACGUG